Molecule: long non-coding RNA, 6790 nt
Organism: Syngnathoides biaculeatus (alligator pipefish)
Lineage: Eukaryota; Metazoa; Chordata; Actinopteri; Syngnathiformes; Syngnathidae
Exons: 5
Source: RefSeq, a predicted model, not a curated record
UUCUUUUUUUCCUGCUAAAAUGUAACAUCUUUCAUCGUUUCAUUUUACGUCGUUUCAGUGGCUGGUGUGGGCUUGUGUAAAAUAAGCUCCAUUUGCUGGGUGUAACUUAAUAAUGAAAAGUGAUCAGGGUAGGCCCGCGCUUCCCAGUUUGAAAACCAGUUAGGAGGCCGACAUGGGGCUCCUGUUGGUUGGGGAUUUUAGCUGCUUGAAAAUUGCUAUUAUUGGACGUGUUUUGCCUAAAACUGACAGAUAUCCCCUGCCAACUUCCGAGCACUCUGCCAUUUAUGUUGUUUGACGUCUGUGUCAAUGAAACGAAGCACGCAGUCCCCGCCAGGGUCCCCGACGCCUGCUCCCCGGGCCCCCGAAGAGGAACCGGCGGCGCAAUGUCACACACCUGUUUGGCUGGAGGCUGCGGCCCGGCGACGCUCGCAGCCGGGGGUGCCGCGUUGGCACCUUUGCCAACUGAACCACCUCCCCGCCGCCACCGCCCCCCCUUACUCCCCCCCCCUCGUCGUCGACUGCUACGCCCUGUGGAUGUGUCAAAAUGGCAGAUGAUGGUUGGGGUGUGUGCAGCUGCUGGGGAAGAGGAGUGCCAAGGGCGCUCGUUUCCUGCGGAAACUCUUGGAAGGCAAAAGCAACAUCCUGAGCUGGUGAGGAGACAGCAGAGGUGCUGACACGCCGACAGGCAGGGGAUCCUGGGAAAAGCCACAGACAGGAAGAGCCUGACUGGCUUUGACCCGCCGGGUCAAGGCUGGGGGCUCGGCAACUGAAAGAUGUUUCCAAGCCACACUCGCGCGAUCAUCCACUUUUUUUUUUCUUUUUUACAGGAAACAACUUCCAAAUGCUGUGAAAUAUGCAGGCAGAUCAUUUUUUUCCCCCUCUCGUUUUAUUGCUCGCUCUUUUGUUUGGCUCUCCCGCGACAUGAAAUGCGAUUUGGCCUUGAGCUAUAUUUGACUUAUUUGUUCCAGGGUCACUGUAUGUAAUUGCACAGAGCUUAAGUCCACAUCCCUUUUCUACUAUGUGAAGAUACCCCCCCACCUCCCACGCCACUCACCCCCCAUCUCCAUUUCACUCUCAACAUGUGCUAUGACUAAUACAGUUAUGCUGUGAAGGCCAGAAUGACACCAUACAAAGGUUUAGUAGGGCCACGCUCAAAAGUAAAUACAUAACUAGCAUAAUAAAAUUACAGCGGGAAUUCAAUGUUGUCAUGUCACAAGAACACAUUUGAAAUGUUAUGAGGAAAAAAAGUCAUGUCAAGAGAGGGAAGCCAUGCUACAACAAUAAAUGCGUCAGUCACGUUACAAAAAUAAACUUGCAAUGAUACGAGAAUUAAAAAAAAAAAAAUUGUGAGAAUAAAAUAGUAUUGUUAGAGAUAAUUGUAAUAUGGCGAAAAGUCACACGGAAAGAAGUUAUCACGUAAUAUCAAUCAAUGGGGGAAAGUCAAUAUUACCACAAGGAUGGUAUACAAGAAGAGUCAGUCACGUCACUAAUAAAACUGUUGCACUGCUACAAGAAUCAAAUAUUAAAAUUAGCUGAAUAGUGUUGAAAUGCUAUGAGUAAACCGUUACUUCCAAAAAGUUGUACAUAACAGAGGGGCAUUCAUAAUUUUACGAGAAUAAAAGAGUUAAUACGAGAAAAGACUCGAGUCAUGUUACGAACAGAAAUGUAACGUUAUGGAAAAAAAGUUACAAUGUCACGAGAACUUGGGUUGUAAAAUUUUGGGGAUGAAAACAGAAUUUUAAGGAGUAAACUUUAAAAUUUCCACACAUAAAAGCAUGUAAUACAUCCUAGUAUCAAGAGAAUAAAGUUGGAAUGUUAUGAGAUUAAGAGUCACAUUAGCCGUAAAAAUGCUCACGAAAACUAAAAUGAACAAUAACUUUUUAAAACUGUGAGAACAGAGUCGUAAUAUUACGAGGAAACACUCGUAACAAGUCGUAGUAUGACGAGAAUGAAGUUGAAAUGUUAUGAAACAAAAAAUGUUUGAACGAAAAUAAUGUGACGAAAAAAUUCCAAUUAUGAGAAUGAAGACAUAAUGAUAAAAGAAUACAGUCUUCAUUUUCCGGGCACAAAUGAUGGUUAACGUCAUUGUAUUACAAGAAAUAGCUAUAAAAAAUAACAAAUAAAAUAUGUCAUAUUAAAAGUAUAGUCGUACGAAAAGAGGGUUCAGAUGUUAUGUAUGAUGAUAUUGUGACAUUUUUGCUCAGAAUAUUAAGACUUCAGUCUGUCAAAUUAUGCCUUUUCUUGUAAUAGUCUUUUUUUCAAUUUCUUGCAGCAAUUCUUUCCCCAUCCUGACUCUUAUAUAAUUUAUAUAUGUAAAAAAAUCAUAAAAUUAAUACUUGCCUCGUAAGAUUUUUUUUCUCUGCAUUUACGACGUUAGUGUGUAAAAUUCUCUUAAUAUUGCCACUUUAUUCUUGAAAUAAUUUCACCUUUUAGAUAGCGGUUAUAUGACAGGAAGGAAUAAAGCUGUGAAGAAUAAAGUUGUAAUGUUAUGAAAUUGUAGUCAAAAUAUUAGGAGAGUCAUUAUGCUGUGAGUAUACACUACACUAGUAAGAUGACCAAACUAAACUGUAAGGUGAAGAUAAAAAAAUGAAGACAGAACAAAAGGUACAAAAAUCGUCACACUUUUGCAGUAACAAAUAGGGAAAAACUAUACAAACAUAAAAUGAUGAAAAAAGGAUAUGAGCCAAUCCCAGGUUGAUUAUUUUUUUUACUUAGUUUCACAAGGUCAAAGUUUGACAUACACGUGUGCCACCGCUUUUCUGUUAUUUAUUGAACGGGACAAAUAAUUGUUUGCUGUUGAUAAUGCGAAAUAGCCAAAAUACAAUGGAACGCGUACAAGGAGCUGCUGUAAACCACAGCUCACGCCCAGAUGCUCGCACAAAGAAUAACCGUCCAGCUAGACGUACGUGCGGAAACUAUGCUUUCACAUUCUCUUUUGAAAUAUAAUACACCGAUAUUGUUCUUUAAGAAAAUCGACAACAAAAAAUUAGAAGGGCAUUGCAAUUACUUUUGAAGGACAAAAUUGAUUUCAUAUGAUCUUCAUAACUGACAUGACUAUAGACUUGUGGUCUACUAUAGAGUAUAUGUAUUACCAUUCUAUUUUUUUUUUUGUGGUUUCAUUUUGGCGAGGAAGUGUUUAUCUUACCACCCCAAAAAAUGGCAGCAUGUACUCAAAAUCCCCUCGUUAUAGUGAAUUAUUCCCAAUAUCAAUAAAAAAAAAAAAAAUCUGCAUUGCACUGAAUGCACAGGAGGUUAACAGCAAGGUAAAACUGCAUUUUAGUGAGGCUGGAAGAGCUGUUAAUACAGUGUCCCUCUCUGACAAGUGUUUUGAAUUAGGCAGAUUGUAUCUUUUUUUUUUUUUUUUAAAUGUUUUUUCUCGCCGCACGUCUGUGUGAAGGUCUCCGAAGGCCUCUUAGAGUCAAACCAAAAGAUGGUGAGGGGAGAUUGUCCUCUAGCCAGUCGUGCACAAUGACACAUAAAUCAAGGCCUCCGUCGUUUGUCACCCCUUCUGUCUCGGCAGCUCCUGGCUCGGACCCCACCGUUGUACCGAUUCAGAUUUUUUUUUUUUUUUUUUUUUUUUAAUGGCCCAAAUGUAUAUCCAUCAAGGCUUUCCGAGUGGCUCUCCAGCCGCCAAACCGCCCCGGCGAUCGAUGGGCGCGCCGUACCCUCCCUCUCGGCCCUGUGCUCACGCUCUUGCCUGCGUGGGAAGGGGGUAAGAGGAACCUCAUUUUAGCUGGUUUUCGCCUCGGGCCACUACUGUGAUUUUACCCCAUGCUCCUGGCCUGACGUCAUUAAAGAUGCAUGAUGAUGGAUACCGUGAAUUCAACCUCACCGAGGGGGUUUUGAGGUGAAGAAAAAAAAAAGAGAGAGAGAGAAAGAACCUUGCUUGUUUUUCAGAUCACACUAAGAAUAAAUCAAGACUGUUUAAAUGUUGAGGUUGCAAGUGGAUGCAUGUGACUAAUCUCUCAGUUGCACAUCAGAGGCGGGCAGACGGAAGGGAGAAAAGGCAGACGGGCCUCGCCGGUGGAGAGGCGCCUCCUGGCCAGUUGGUGGUGCUCCUGCCACAGUCAAUCCCCGCUAACAACACUUUGCAAAAACGUUGAUUUGCCACAGGAGGUGUGAAAGCAGAGCGCAGACCUCCUCCAUGGCCUGAGCUCCUCGUGUUUCCAAAAGUGGGAGUGACAGAAUGCGGGAGAGACAUUUGACAGCUGUGCUCCCCGGGUUCAAAGGUCGUGUCAAGCGGUGGACGAGUCUCAAGGUAAAGAGCCUGACAAGGGUCCGCCCGCCCGCCCGGUCAAUGGCUCUCGUUUCGGGGGCCCGGCUGCAGUAAUGGGACCUCAUUCAUGUGUCAGCUCGCCAAGGAAAAGUCCGGGGAAAAGAGAUUGAACUUUUAAACGAUGCAAUUUCCAGCCGAAAGGCGUCAUACUGUAUGCACGCUGAGGUCUUAUCAGUGUCUUCCUGCCUGUCCGGCCACUCCCGCCUGUCUUCCUACACUUUAAGCCAAUCUCUUGAUGUAACUGAGUAAAAAUACUUUGCUAAACCACUUGCGUUCACUGCCAGCGGUUGCCAGAGUAAUACCUGAUCUUUCACGAUCCAGAAGGUUGUAUUCUGUCAUGAUAUACAUGCUGUAAGCACAUCCCAUUGGGAAAAAGUACACUCUUCUUUUAUCAGAAAAAAAAAAAAAUUCUACCUUUUCCCAUUGUUUACUAAUCAGCAGUAGAACAUAGGUUGGUUUUGUCAAAAAUGACAAAGGUUCUGUUUGCGGAUACAUAGAUAUACAUCCUGCUUGAUCGUAUGUUCAAAUUGAGGAAAUGUGGGCAUCUUGCUCUGAAUAGCUGUUUUUUGCUAUAAAAGUUACAAAUAUGAAUGUUUCCAAAACAAAAGCUUUUUGGUUGGUUCCAAAACCUUCUCAUGUUGCAUGGUGCAGAGUUCCACACAACACAUGCAGAAAUUAGGCUUGAAAAGCAUCCUACUUGAUAUUAUGUCCAAAUUGAAGAAAUGUGCGCAUCUUGCUCUCCAAAGCUGUUUUUCACUAUAAAAAAAAGUCACAAACAUGAAUAUUUCAAAAGUAAAGCUUUUUGGUUGGUUCCAAAGGCUUCUAAUGUCGCGUGGGGGAGAGUUUCAAGCAGUGCAUGCAGAAAUUAGGCUUGAACAUGUAGCGACGUGUGUGAACUUGUAACGUAUGGAAUAGAUAAUGCAGUAUGUGUGGAGCCUCAAAACGUGACCAGCAGUCACAGUCAGUUGGUAUGUCCACGAAGGUCAGUUGGCACGUGUGCAGGUGCGAGUCGCAGACUGUCAUUUGUUUGCUGUUGUCCAGUUCAUGUGCAUUCGGCCAAAGUCUCUCUCUCUUAGAAUACGGCGCUUGUUUGCCAGUCUUAGCGGCUAGAAGCUAGCUACCGGGGUACGCCAUCAGCUCACGACUUCCUAAAGACUAAUUUUGCCAGGCUGUUUAAUCAUCGAAAAUGAAUCUGCACACAAAACUUUGACUGUGACAGCCUGACAGUUGCAGGUCCUACCGAUCCAUUUUUAUAAACAAGGGAAUGCGCUGUGUGACAUCACUUCCUCCCUUUUGGCCGAAGAAAGAACGCUAUGUCAAAUUCUCGCAUCUUUUUCGCAUAGAAUGAUGUAAAAAUGGCAGCUUGCAAUGAGUGUUUCAAAAGUAUUUUUUAGAAUAUAUACUCUAAAUACAUCAAUGAUUAAAAUAAAUAAAAAUAGAAUCACUAUUCUCGCCGCUCCCCUUUUUUUCGUACUUUUACUUCCAAUACUUAAGUACAUCUAAUAUCAGAAAAAUGACUUUUUGAAACUUAAAUAUAACAAAUGUAAUUUUCUACAAGGUGACUUCUGCCAGCGUAAUUGUAAUCUAUUGAGAUACUUGUACUUUUACUCAAGUAUCUCGUGCAGGUACUCUAUCCAAGGCUGCUUUUAGCCUGACCGCAUUGAGGCUCCGAGCGCACUGUUCCAGCAUCCCGCCUUAACCGUCCCGCAGCUCGGGGAGUUGAAUCCGGCCCCCUCACUGGAAGACCCUGAAAUAAGGCCUUUAUCAGUCGGGCCCACACAGUAUCAGGGGGCUCCUCCGGCUGCCUCUGAUGUGAAGGGGAGAUGGACGGCGCCUCACGCCGGUCCUCUGGUCGAGCACCAGAACGGGAUUGGGGUUGGUUGGUGGUGGGGGGGGGACCAUUGUGGCGCUGGAAUUAGGCAGGCAUCAAACGGGAAGAAGAAGCCGUUGUUGAUGCAUUGUCUCAUGUUAUUUUAACCGGCUUAGCGCGAGAGCCUCUUCAUGCUAGAGUGUUGCGGGCGCUGGAUGCCGAUGAUGAUAAGUGGCGCAUUCUCUGUUAAGACCGCUAAGCUGCCACGCUGGCUCCACCAGCAACGUUCUGCAUUUGUGCGUGCGCGUGUGUGUGCAGAAUUUGGCUGCGUGGCUGAAGCCUUUUUCAAUAGGUUAGCACGGUCUUAUCCCGUCAAAAGCGCUGACUUGGCAGUCCGACGCGCAGCCUUUAUGGUGUCACCAGUGGGACCGCUCUUUAUUUCAUAAUGCUGACUUUUUUUUUUUAUAUGCAAGAGAUUUGAUAGGAGAGGUGGGGGGGGUCAACAUACUGUACACAAAGAAACUUUUGAAAUAUCUUGCGCACUCAGAUACUGUAGGAUCAAACUAGCCCAUUGUAAAGUUCAAAGGUUCGGAGGAGGAAAAAAAUCGAUUUUAAAAUGUAAAAUAAUAUUACCAAUGCUAUAUUCAUGUAUGUAUAUGUAUUCUUUGAGAAAAAGUUAUAAAAGUUGCAAUUUUAACAUAGAA